RNAcentral lists this transfer RNA (86 nucleotides) under Hypoxylon sp. FL1150. Its description in RNAcentral is "tRNA-Thr". It matches the Rfam family "tRNA". Rfam says of the family: Transfer RNA (tRNA) molecules are approximately 80 nucleotides in length. The record is from RNAcentral. Lineage: Eukaryota; Fungi; Ascomycota; Sordariomycetes; Xylariales; Hypoxylaceae.
GCCCCUAUAGCUCAGUGGUAGAGCGCGUCACUCGUAUGCCAUAAUGCGAUAUGACGAGGUCCAUCGUUCAAUCCGGUGUGGGGGCA